GAAAAGUGCUGACAGAAUCACAAACAAAAUUUCCUGAGGCGUGUAGAGUCAUUGUCCUUAAGGACUUAUCCGCGGUGUAUUGCGCAAGUCCCCCAGGAUACAACAGGAACUUCUCAGAAAUGUCUGAGGAUCUCAAAACUAGCAAGGAUCUCUUAAAAAGAGAUAGAAAGAAACCCAGGAUAAUUUUUAAGAAAUAAAAGGAAGGAGAGAAUGAGAGAAGGAGAAUAGAUAACGAAAGAAUGAGAGAAUGAGAGAACUCAAUAGUGUGAGAGAAAGAGAACACUCGAUUUUUGAUGAUUUCUUGAAUGAGAGCAGCGGGUCUAUUUAUAGAGAAGAAAAGGUAUAAGAAAAAGGCCCAUAGACCAGAUUUGGUGGAAACUGCCCCCGGAGUUCGCAGCUCACGUCGUGGUCAAAGUUGUUCACGAAAUCUUUAUCCCGAAACUUGGGGAAAAGAAAAUUUGAACGUGCAGAGGAUAACGUUCAUCACGCAACGUUCAUGCGCUGCUUUCGGAAGCAAUAUUUUGCAAUAUAAUAUAAGUUUAUAACAAUCCCCCACAUAUUGCAAAAGAUGAGAAACAAAGAUUUAAAGAAAGAAAAGAAGAA
This 603-nucleotide long non-coding RNA is filed under the name Vigna radiata. Its description in RNAcentral is "long non-coding RNA (VRAD_LNC014594)". The record is from RNAcentral. Lineage: Eukaryota; Viridiplantae; Streptophyta; Magnoliopsida; Fabales; Fabaceae.